RNAcentral lists this ribosomal RNA (460 nucleotides) under uncultured bacterium. RNAcentral describes it as "partial 16S ribosomal RNA". It matches the Rfam family "Bacterial small subunit ribosomal RNA", at positions 338 to 795 of the family's 1533-position model. The record is from RNAcentral.
CCUACGGGUGGCAGCAGUGAGGAAUAUUGGUCAAUGGACGAGAGUCUGAACCAGCCAAGUAGCGUGAAGGAUGACUGCCCUAUGGGUUGUAAACUUCUUUUAUAUGGGAAUAAAAUGUUCCACGUGUGGGCUUUUGUAUGUACCAUAUGAAUAAGGAUCGGCUAACUCCGUGCCAGCAGCCGCGAUAAUACGGAGGAUCCGAGCGUUAUCCGGAUUUAUUGGGUUUAAAGGGAGCGUAGGUGGAUUGUUAAGUCAGUUGUGAAAGUUUGCGGCUCAACCGUAAAAUUGCAGUUGAAACUGGCAGUCUUGAGUACAGUAGAGGUGGGCGGAAUUCGUGGUGUAGUGGUGAAAUGCUUAGAUAUCACGAAGAACUCCGAUUGCGAAGGCAGCUCACUGGACUGCAACUGACACUGAGGCUCGAAAGUGUGGGUAUCAAACAGGAUUAGAUACCCUUGUAGUC